Triticum aestivum (bread wheat) is the source of this 367-nucleotide long non-coding RNA. RefSeq lists it as uncharacterized. The record is from RefSeq and is a predicted model, not a curated record. NCBI's taxonomy places the organism in Eukaryota, Viridiplantae, Streptophyta, Magnoliopsida, Poales, Poaceae. The transcript is spliced from 3 exons.
CCAUCCUGAUUGGGAUCUGUUCGUGGUUUUGGUUGACUGGCUGGUGCGUCGUGCCAUUGCUGGUGCUUGAGGUUGUCUCGCUGGUUUCCUUGCAGUAUCGUCGAUCUGUGCAUCCAGGCACCCCAAGCUUUUCCUCGCGCGAUGGCAUCAGGCGCACGGAGGGAGCUCUUCUCCGUCGAUGUGGUGAACAACUACCGUGAUCUCCGUUCCACGGCGUCACCGGCUAGCAAGUCAACACACAACACGAUUGUAGAGUGGUAAGUCCAGGCACCCCAAGCCUGUCCACGGUGCCACAAAUGAACAAGGCCGAGACAAGCAUCGUAAGGAUCCAGUUAGAAUGAUGAUUGAUAUCCUGUUAGAGCAUCUU